GUGGCGAACGGGUGAGUAACACGUGGGCAAUCUGCCCUUCACUCUGGGACAAGCCCUGGAAACGGGGUCUAAUACCGGAUAUCACUCUCGCAGGCAUCUGUGAGGGUCGAAAGCUCCGGCGGUGAAGGAUGAGCCCGCGGCCUAUCAGCUUGUUGGUGAGGUAAUGGCUCACCAAGGCGACGACGGGUAGCCGGCCUGAGAGGGCGACCGGCCACACUGGGACUGAGACACGGCCCAGACUCCUACGGGAGGCAGCAGUGGGGAAUAUUGCACAAUGGGCGAAAGCCUGAUGCAGCGACGCCGCGUGAGGGAUGACGGCCUUCGGGUUGUAAACCUCUUUCAGCAGGGAAGAAGCGAAAGUGACGGUACCUGCAGAAGAAGCGCCGGCUAACUACGUGCCAGCAGCCGCGGUAAUACGUAGGGCGCAAGCGUUGUCCGGAAUUAUUGGGCGUAAAGAGCUCGUAGGCGGCUUGUCACGUCGGGUGUGAAAGCCCGGGGCUUAACCCCGGGUCUGCAUUCGAUACGGGCUAGCUAGAGUGUGGUAGGGGAGAUCGGAAUUCCUGGUGUAGCGGUGAAAUGCGCAGAUAUCAGGAGGAACACCGGUGGCGAAGGCGGAUCUCUGGGCCAUUACUGACGCUGAGGAGCGAAAGCGUGGGGAGCGAACAGGAUUAGAUACCCUGGUAGUCCACGCCGUAAACGGUGGGAACUAGGUGUUGGCAACAUUCCACGUUGUCGGUGCCG
RNAcentral lists this ribosomal RNA (741 nucleotides) under Streptomyces sp. RNAcentral's name for it is "bacterial SSU rRNA". It matches the Rfam family "Bacterial small subunit ribosomal RNA", at positions 95 to 848 of the family's 1533-position model. The record is from RNAcentral. Lineage: Bacteria; Bacillati; Actinomycetota; Actinomycetes; Kitasatosporales; Streptomycetaceae.